CCGCAGGCGCUACAUUCGACGAGCAUUCGUAAUGCCCUCGGCUCACUCUACGUUAUUUGAGCAGUGUGUGGUCGAGGCGAAAGGGGGAAAAGGACGGGAAAGAGUGCGAAGUGUGUACUGCGCUCGUUUCAUAAGACUUGACCCUUCACAC
Caenorhabditis elegans is the source of this 151-nucleotide non-coding RNA. The record is from Ensembl. NCBI's taxonomy places the organism in Eukaryota, Metazoa, Nematoda, Chromadorea, Rhabditida, Rhabditidae.